RNAcentral lists this transfer RNA (68 nucleotides) under Elephas maximus (Asiatic elephant). RNAcentral describes it as "tRNA-Val". It matches the Rfam family "tRNA". Rfam says of the family: Transfer RNA (tRNA) molecules are approximately 80 nucleotides in length. Their secondary structure includes four short double-helical elements and three loops (D, anti-codon, and T loops). Lineage: Eukaryota; Metazoa; Chordata; Mammalia; Proboscidea; Elephantidae. RNAcentral also lists the same sequence under 2 other names. The record is from RNAcentral.
CAAAGUGUAGCUUAACAAAAAGCAUCUGGCCUACACCCAGAAGACCUCAUUUACAAUGAUCACUUUGA